This is a non-coding RNA of Acanthosepion pharaonis, 113 nucleotides long. The record is from the annotation of a GenBank genome assembly. Lineage: Eukaryota; Metazoa; Mollusca; Cephalopoda; Sepiida; Sepiidae.
ACAGCCACAUCUUUUUGAAGACACUAGUUCCUGUAUGAUCACUGAAAUUAAGCAACAUCGUGUCUUAUCAGUACCUAGAUGGGUGACUGCUUGUGAAUACCAGGUGCUGUAAG